This 465-nucleotide ribosomal RNA is filed under the name Vreelandella stevensii. RNAcentral's name for it is "partial 16S ribosomal RNA". It matches the Rfam family "Bacterial small subunit ribosomal RNA", at positions 338 to 794 of the family's 1533-position model. Lineage: Bacteria; Pseudomonadati; Pseudomonadota; Gammaproteobacteria; Oceanospirillales; Halomonadaceae. The record is from RNAcentral.
CCUACGGGAGGCUGCAGUGGGGAAUAUUGGACAAUGGGCGAAAGCCUGAUCCAGCCAUGCCGCGUGUGUGAAGAAGGCCUUCGGGUUGUAAAGCACUUUCAGUGGGGAAGAAAGCCUUGGGGCUAAUACCCUCGAGGAAGGACAUCACCCACAGAAGAAGCACCGGCUAACUCCGUGCCAGCAGCCGCGGUAAUACGGAGGGGUGCGAGCGUUAAUCGGAAUUACUGGGCGUAAAGCGCGCGUAGGCGGUCUGAUAAGCCGGUUGUGAAAGCCCCGGGCUCAACCUGGGAACGGCAUCCGGAACUGUCAGGCUAGAGUGCAGGAGAGGAAGGUAGAAUUCCCGGUGUAGCGGUGAAAGGCGUAGAGAUCGGGAGGAAUACCAGUGGCGAAGGCGGCCUUCUGGACUGACACUGACGCUGAGGUGCGAAAGCGUGGGUAGCAAACAGGAUAAGAAACCCCGGUAGC